CAAUCCGUGUGGUCAAUUUAUGAUAUUUUUCACACAUAUAUAUAUAUAUUAGACCUGUUCACUUUGAAACUUUUUUUCUCCGAUUCUCCGUGACACAUCAAAUUAUCAAUCCACAUGCAAAAUCAAGUCUUCAGUCCAAAAUUGAGCCAAAUUGAUAAAGAUUUAAAGGUGUAUCAAAUCGAUUUUGUGUUUUUUUAACCGUUUUCACAGAAAUUUGCUCAUAAAUCCAAAAAAUUGCUCCGAAAAGGUGCCGAAAAUACCGUUAGGAUAUAGUUAGUACAAUACUCUACAACUUUGCCGAAGAUGCUAUGGUGUUUAAAUUGCUUAUUUCGAAGUUAUUCAAAAAUUUUAGUUGAAAAAUCACGAAAAAACACGAUAUUUUUACGAUUUUACGUAUAAAAGUCAUGUAAUUUUACAUUAUUUUACGUGACUAAACUGCCCCCACUCGCAUAACUGUCCCAUUUGACUUUUCAUCACUUUUGAGUUAACGUUAUGAAUAGUCAAUUUUCGAUGUACUUCCAAAAUCAAUAAUAAAAAAUAUGAUUUUUUAUGUCAAUAUGUGAAAAAAAUACCAAGUCAUGAGCGUCCCAUUUCAAAAGUACCCGCAUAACAGUCCCAUCAUGGAUUUUUGUGUUACGUAACACAAAACUGAACAACUUUGUAGUGAUUGUAAUAUUUUUUACAGUUAUAUAUUCAUGUGCAAAGCAAUCUGUGAAAGUUUCGAGAUGAUCGAAAUAUUCUUCAAAUUUUGGCGAUUUUUCAAAGUUUUAUAUGGAAACAAGUUUUCAAACUUCAAAUGCUGUUUUCUCAAUUCCUACUUUUUGCAAAUGGGACUGUUAUGCGAGUGGGGGCACUACAGGGGAUAGACAAAAUGAUCGGGACAGGCAAAAUUUUCACUUUCCAAAAAAUGUUCAACUAGCUGUAACUUUUCGAAAAGUGCAUCAAAUAUUCUCAAAUUUUUACUGUGAGUUCUUCAACUAGUUGUGUAUCAGUGGACAAAGUUUGGAAAAGAUCGAACAAUUCUUCACGAAGUUAUAAAGAUUUUUGAAAAAGAUAAAAUUAUCCGAUAGCCAACUUUGAGCUGUUAUAUCUCCGGAUUCAAUGAACCGAUUGCAAUGAAAUUUUGACCAUGCAUGCCUUAUAUAAUGAACUCUGGAAAACAUUUGACCUAACUUGAAAUUUUUAACAAGCGAAAAAGUUAUAGCGAUUUUAUUUUUUUCACGUUUUUUUAGUAAAUUGGUCUAUUUUUAAUAUGCAUCCCAUUACUUUUUCAAUUUAUUGGCGGCUAUGUUGUUACUUUCCUUCAAAAUGCAUUUAUAUAUAAGAAAAUUAGAGGGAAACUAAAUGAACUAUAACUUGCAUCUUGAAUUUUGAAACGAUGUUGAUGUUUUGGAUAAUUUGGUGUUUUAUUAGAAAAAUAAUUUAAUCGUUAUAAUUUUCUUCCGUGUUAAGAAUAUUAAGUUAGGUCAAUGGUUUUUCAUAGCUCAUUAUAUAAGUCAUAAAUGGUCAAAAUUUCAUUGCAUUCGGUUAAUUGGGUCCAGAGAUAUAACAGCUCAAAGUUGGCAAUCGAAUAAUUUUACCUUUUUCAAAAUUCUUUAAAACUUUGUGAAGAAUUGUCCGAUCUUUUCCAAAUUUUGUCCACUGAUACACAACUAGUUGAAGAACUUACAGUAAAAAUUUGAGAAUAUUUGAUGCACUUUUCGAAAAGUUACAGCUAAUUGAACAUUUUUUGAAAAGUGAAAAUUUUGCCUGUCCCGAUCAUUUUGUCUAUCCCCUGUAUAUUGGACGCUCUCCUUAUCGACUCACCGUUUUGCAGCCCUGAAUAUUCUUCUAGAAGAAAAUUCAUACAUAAAUUCCACUAAGAAUUCCAACAGGAGUUUUGCCGAUGUUUUUUGCGCGAAUUCCACUAAAAUUCAAACGGGAGUUCCACUAGUACUUCCACCAGGAUUUCCUCUAAGAGUACCAAAGAAAAUUCCCGCAGGAGUUCUUCCAGGAAAUUCAACGAGAAAUUCUCAAUAAAUUUUGCCGGUAAUUCCAUUAGUUAUAAUCGAAAGAGGAAGUUACAGCAGAAAUUCUUGUAGGAGUUCCACCACAAAUUUUUGCUUGAGUAUCACCGCAAAUUCCCACUGGGUCCCAUCAAGAAAUCCUCUGGUAAUUCCAACGAAAAUUCCUCUAAAAGUAUCAUCGGAAAUUUCUUUCGAAGUUCCACCGGAAAUUCUUCCGCCAGCAAUUUCUUUUUGGAAGUUCCAAUGGGAAUUGUUCUUGAAGCAUUCCACCGGAUGUGUCGCUGAGAGUUCCGUUAGGAAUUCCGCUAGGAUUUCCAAAGAGAAUUUUCACCAGUUCCACCAAGUAUUUCUCAUAUUUCUCCAGAUAUUCCUCUAGGAGUUUCGAAGGAAAUUUCUCCAAGAAUUCUUGAAAUGAUUUCUUCUAGUUUACCUCAGGAAAUUCUCUAGGCGUUGCCGUGAAUUCCUUUAGGAGUUCGACCGGAAAUUCCUUAAGCAGUUUCACCAGGAAUUCCAUUUGAAGUUCCAAAUAGAAUUUCUUUAACAGUUCCACCAAUUGUUUCUCUAAAAGUUCGACUGGAAAAUAUUGGAUGAGCUCCGCAAGGAAUUUGACCAGUAAUUACUUCGGGAGUUCCACCCUAAAUUCCCGCAGGAGCCCCAUCGGGAGUUCCUCUACAUAUAAGUUUAACCAAAUAUUGUUCUAGAAAAGGGGUUCUCAAACUUUUCUAGCUUGCCACCCACAUUUGCUUGUAAAGAAUUUGGCAACCCACCAGUACGGAUUUUUAAAGCAUUCUGGACUGUAUGGUCAACUGUUCUGAUUUCGGUGAAAGUUUAAAUUACCAUAGUUCUGCGAAAUUGUACUGAAGAAACUAAAACGAAUAAACAGUAGAAAUAAGCAAAUGUUUGGGUUUGCUGCUUUUUACUAUUCUGAACUUUCUAAAAUUCUUGCUGCAGAACUUGGCACUAAUUUUUGCGUGUAAAUCUAUCUGAAAAUACAAACUGCAAGCAACAAGUUGAAGUCAUCCAUUGCAGUACAUAUGAAAAAACAUAUCUAAAUUUUUAACAGAAUCAUGUUCCUGCUGAUUGUGAACUUAUUCGAAACGAUUCUGGAGUUAAUCGAUUUCAGAGCGCAGGUAGUAGCGUCGAUAUGCAAUACAAUUCGGACUAAAACUCAUGUUAUAAAAGUUUAACAGCAUUAAGGAAAAUCCCCAUUUUUAGAAAUAAUUCUGCUGAUUUUCCAAGAGAAUAGAUAGUUAUAAAUUAGCCAGCAUCCAUAAUUUACGUAACUCUAAAAUCUUAAUUAUCUGACCCGCUCACCGUAAUGCAUUCUUGUGUGAAAAUCCUAAACAUUUUGCAUGGGCCGUAACGCUCGCCCAUAUUCCCACCUCUCCCUAGAACGUUACGUAAUUUGUGAAUGACGCCAUAGGAACUUGAUCGGGACUACCGUGAAUUUCUGUUUAAGUUCUAGAUGGAGUUUCAACAGGAAUUCUUCUAGUAGUUCUUCCGGAAAUUCCUGUAAGAGUUCCACCAGAAAUUCCCCUAGCAGUUCAUUCGGUAAUUUUUACAGAGUUGUUUCGACAAUUUCUCUAGAUGCUCAAUCGCGAAUUCUUUCAGAAGUACCACCGCAAAUUCCCACAGUAGUGCCUAGCGUUUCUCUAUGAGAUCUACCGCAAAUUAUUGUAGUACAAAGUAGUUACAAAGUAGUUACAGUAGUUACAGUAGUUACAGAGUAGUUACAAAGGAAACUUUCCUGAAAGUUUCAUCAGGCGUUCCUCUCGAAAUUGCACAAAAUUUAGCUCUUCCCGGGAGUUGUACUGGGACCAAGUGAUUUAUCGGCAAUUUCAGGAGUACCACUAGAAAUUCCUCUUGGAGGUAUACUCUAAUCUAAUUUCUCUAAGAGUUCCACCGUAGAUUCAUUUAGAAGUUGAAAUAACUCUGGGAACUGCACACAACAGUCUUCUCGGAGUUUCCUUGUGAACCUGUAGUACCCAAGUAACCAGUAAGCAUUUAAAAUAGCAUUCCUUCAGCAUUAUAGUAGCCUUUACGACAAUGAGCAUGAGCAUGAGCAUAGAUGACCGCACAAUUCGUAGUUGCUACUCCGUGAUUGACCAGAGCAAUCGAAAUUGCACAAGGAACCAAUGAAUAGGGCUUGGGACUAGCUUACUAUUCUCAAUGUACACAGGUCGAGAGCUCUCAACUUUAAUAAGGUCAAUAACGGCGCCGGCCACGUCCUUACGGUCAUCGAGGAUGGGAGGGAAUGUUAGUAAGACAAACGUUGUUAAAAAGACCGCGAAUCGCUGCAUCUCCACGUUUGUCUCAGGAAGGAAUUUUUUGUUAGUAGGGUAAGGUACAUUGUCAGUUCGGGAGUCACCUAUGGUUGGUGAUAUGAUUUGACAAUGGAUCAAUAUACACAAACCGCCGUUAACAACCGACCACUUUUCGACGCAAAAACUAGCCAAAAGGAAAAUUAUAUCGCGCGUCUCCACUCCACUAGGGAGCAGAGACCUUUAGUCUAUUCCACACAGAAAUACACUGAACGCGACUCACUUGUCGGCGCCCGGAUUUUUUUCUCGACCGGCGAGCCCGAACUAUCAUUUUUCACUCUUUUGUGUUAAUGCAAAAAAAAAAAAUAUUAUCCACUAAAAAUGUAUUGGGAAGUAGCGCCGACGGAAAGCGAAAAAUUCGGAACCGACUCGAGCCACGACGCGUCCACCGCACACUUCGUCCCGUCGUCGGAGACCCGCAGAGAAGAAAAAAUCGCAAAAAUCUAGCAAAGCCAGCGCGCGAAGCUUUGCUGCUGCCGAACUACCGCACACUACUGACAGCUUGGCGUCCCGUCGUCGGAGACCCGCCGAGAGAAGAAAAAAAAAUCGCAAAAAUCUAGCAAAUCCAGAGCGCGAAGCUUUGCUGCUGCCGAACUACCGCACACUACUCCGUCGGAGCCCCGCAGAGGGAAGAGGAAAAAAAUCGCAAAAAUCUAGCAAAGCGAGCGAGCGAAACUUUGCUGCUGCCGAACUACCGCACACUACUGACUGCUUGGUGUCCCGUCGUCGGAGCCCCGCAGAGAAAAUAAAAUCGCAAAAAUCUAGCUAAGCGAGCGCGCGAAACUUUGCUUCUGCCGAACUACCGCACACUACUGACUCGCAUUAUAGUAGCCUUUACGACAAGGCGAUUAAUGCUGAUUAGCCGUAUAUGCACCUAUAGUGCUACCUCACAGCAGGAUUUGGCAAAAUAACGGGCUGUCUUAGUGCUACCCCUUCAGGAACGUCGUGACGAAAUGUCAAAGAAGCGUAACGCCUCGUCGAGCAAAAAAAAAACAAAAAUAGAUUGACGUCUGCUUCUCGUUCUCUCAGCCUGCUUCCCC
Aedes albopictus (Asian tiger mosquito) is the source of this 5367-nucleotide long non-coding RNA. RefSeq lists it as uncharacterized. The record is from RefSeq and is a predicted model, not a curated record. Lineage: Eukaryota; Metazoa; Arthropoda; Insecta; Diptera; Culicidae. The transcript has 2 exons.